Molecule: unclassified non-coding RNA, 327 nt
Filed under: soil metagenome
Description: partial contains 5.8S ribosomal RNA, internal transcribed spacer 2, and large subunit ribosomal RNA
Rfam family: 5.8S ribosomal RNA (bases 1-120)
Source: RNAcentral
GAUGAAGAACGUAGUGAAAUGCGAUAAGUAGUGUGAAUUGCAGAAUUCAGUGAAUCAUCGAAUCUUUGAACGCACAUUGCGCCCCUUGGUAUCCCGAGGGGCAUGCCUGUUCGAGCGUCAUUUCACCACUCAAGCCUGGCUUGGUGUUGGGCGACGUCCCCUUUGGGGACGCGCCUCGAAACGCUCGGCGGCGUGGCACCGGCUUUAAGCGUAGCAGAAUCUUUCGCUUUGGAAGUCGGGGCCCCGUCUGCCGGAAGACCUACUCGCAAGGUUGACCUCGGAUCAGGCAGGGAUACCCGCUGAACUUAAGCAUAUCAAAGCGGAGGA